AUAACCUGGAGGAAGGUGGGGAUGACGUCAAAUCAUCAUGCCCCUUAUGCUUAGGGCUACACACGUGCUACAAUGGGUAGUACAGAGGGUUGCCAAGCCGUAAGGUGGAGCUAAUCCCUUAAAGCUACUCUCAGUUCGGAUUGUAGGCUGAAACUCGCCUACAUGAAGCUGGAGUUACUAGUAAUCGCAGAUCAGAAUGCUGCGGUGAAUGCGUUCCCGGGUCUUGUACACACCGCCCGUCACACCACGGGAGUUGGAGACGCCCGAAGCCGAUUAUCUAACCUUUUGGAAGAAG
This 295-nucleotide ribosomal RNA is filed under the name Clostridioides difficile. RNAcentral describes it as "partial 16S ribosomal RNA". It matches the Rfam family "Bacterial small subunit ribosomal RNA", at positions 1158 to 1452 of the family's 1533-position model. Lineage: Bacteria; Bacillati; Bacillota; Clostridia; Peptostreptococcales; Peptostreptococcaceae. The record is from RNAcentral.